Molecule: long non-coding RNA, 525 nt
Organism: Molossus molossus (Pallas's mastiff bat)
Lineage: Eukaryota; Metazoa; Chordata; Mammalia; Chiroptera; Molossidae
Exons: 4
Source: RefSeq, a predicted model, not a curated record
AAGAAAAACUGAGGAUGUGAAGUGGUAAACUGACCUUAGAGUUAGUAAUAAUAGGCUUUGGAGAUUCUGAUUUUCAGGUGGCUCGUUUUCUCCUUCCAGCCAAAUUUCAUAGGCAUAUUGAAAUCAAUUGGUCAAACCUCAAAUCCCUCUGAUUUGGCUACAGGAGUAAUUCAACCCUUCAUGGCCGAACAUCAUCUUGUCACCUCAUCAAAACUAUAUCAAGCUGCCAAUUUUAUUUCUGGAAGGAAACAAAAACACUAACCAAAAAAGGAGUAAUUGCAGAAGUAAUUGGAUUUCCAGAAGGAAGGACUGUGGAAAACAUCUCUGCCCCAAGAAGGCAGGCAUAGAAGCCACAGAUACCAGAGAAAUGUUGGCAAGUGGCUGGAAAUUGACUCCUGAUUCUGUGACCUUGAGUUUAAUGAAGAAACUGAAAAACUCUCUAUAAAGUCCACAGGCUGAUGCUCUACCUGCUGAGCCAGACCAGCCAGGGCGAGGCAUACUAUGUUUGUGAUGACAUACAAUACA